GUUUAUCAGAAGGUUUCUCAAAAAUGGUAUAUCAAAAUGUUUCUCAAAAAGGGGUUAGCAAAAGGUUUCUCAAAAUGAUUUAUUCAAAUGUUUCCAAAAAAUGGUGUUUCAAAAGGUUUCUCAAAAGGUAGCAGUUUCAAUAGGUUUCUCAAUGGAAGCAGUUUCAUAAGAUGGUUUCUCAAUAGAGGCAAUUUCAAUAGGUUUCUUAAAGGCUUGUUACACUGGUUUCUGAAAGGCUUGUUACAAUGGUUUCUGAAAGGCUUGUUACACUGGUUUCUGAAAGGCUUGUUACAUAGGUUUCUGAAAGGCUUGUUACAUAGGUUUCUGAAAGGCUUGUUACAUAGGUUUCUGAAAGGCUUGUCAAUCAGAUAGAGCGGUAGAGGAGACAGGAAAGUCAGAGCGUCCAAAAUUUAGCUAGAGGGAUAGAGCAAAGGGGGACACAAGAUAGAGUGGCUUUUCAAUUAGAUAGAGCGGUAGAGGAGACAGGAAAGUCAGAGCGUCCAAAAUUUAGCUAGAGGGAUAGAGAAAAGGGGGACACAAGAUAGAGUGGCUUUUUAAUCAGACAGAGCGGUAGAGGAGACAGGAAAGUCAGAGUGGCCAAAAAGAUAGGGGAGAGUGGGGAGACUGGACACGAUACCUGUAAGACACAAUGAAAACAAACAUGAAUCAUUUUUUAUAAAAGAAAUAAAAUGAACCAACAUCCACCCAAAGCUAAUGUCAUUAUUAUGUGCUUUUACUUAACCCACCAUAUGGCUAUCCUUAACUAUACAUCUAUCAAAAGCCAAGUUGAGUCAAAUUCUGGAAUUGACCAUUGCCCUGUUUGAUAACCCAUCAAUCAAAUUAAUAAGAACUAAAAAUCCAAAGUGUUCAUAAGAUUUAAUCAAAAAUUAAUUUAAGAUACGAAGAACUUUAUUUAUCCCCUAAGGGAAAUUCAAUUGUCUAUAGUCUCAUUUGUCAUGUCUCAAAAAGUCAUCUACUAUUCAAAUUGUAGAGUCUGAUGGCUGUGGGUACAAAAGAUCUUCUGAAUCUUUUUUUCCUGCAGCGAAGAGAGAGGAGC
Non-coding RNA from Xyrichtys novacula (pearly razorfish), 1057 nucleotides. NCBI's taxonomy places the organism in Eukaryota, Metazoa, Chordata, Actinopteri, Labriformes, Labridae. The record is from the annotation of a GenBank genome assembly.